AUGGACGCAGAACUGCACAGUCAGCAGACAAGAACUUUCAAGGCGUAUUGUUGUAAGGCUUACCACGUUGGCAAAUUCAACAGGAACAUUUUGAACUCAGACGGUUCCUUUCACCCAGAAAUCCCACACCGUUUGGUUCCCCACCAACGCUGCGUGCAAAGCCUCUCGCUAGCCCUCCGGGGCUCCAUCAGCCUGCAGCAGCCGGCCGUGGAACGAUGCUGCACGACUCCUAGUCCGGAACUCUCCACCAGGGAAACAAACCCAGCAGGCAUUCAAGACACUCAGGCGAGAAGAAAUGCAUCCCAUCGGAAAAUUUCCAUCGCCAGCAUUUUUUUUUUUUUUAAUUUCCAAGAUAAAUGGGGUUUUACUUAUAAGAAGACCAAGGGCUCCAUUAUCUUUCAAAUACUUUGCGGCUUCCAAGGAGCCGAGAAAAUUGGUCAUGCACCUGGCCAGCUGAUCCAGCCUCAAAAAAUCUUCCGACCUUAA
This 486-nucleotide long non-coding RNA is filed under the name Felis catus (domestic cat). RNAcentral describes it as "lncRNA (ENSFCAG00000051078.1)". Lineage: Eukaryota; Metazoa; Chordata; Mammalia; Carnivora; Felidae. The record is from RNAcentral.